Long non-coding RNA from Macaca fascicularis (crab-eating macaque), 1619 nucleotides. Lineage: Eukaryota; Metazoa; Chordata; Mammalia; Primates; Cercopithecidae. The record is from Ensembl.
GCAUCCACACGGAAGUCUGCCCGGCCUGGCCGCUACGUGUCACCUAGCUAUCCGCGUCAAGCCGGAUCCAUAUAUAGCAGUUCCUUGUGUGUAGGGAGAAAGUUAAAACUGCCACCUAAGGGUUUCCAUGGGAAGACUAAAAGUAGGCUCACCCACCUGCUGUGAAGCAGCGCGCGCCAGCUGUUACUAACAGUAAUGAAAAGGCGGGGUCCCUGCCCGAGGCGCGCACGGGGGCGCCGGCUGACCCAGCGACCAGAGGGAGACUCAUGGCCGGCGCUGCACAGCCUGUGGGGCCGGAGGGGAACCGUCGCCCUUGGCGGGCUUCCCCAACUGCCACGGCCUGAGGACGGCCGAGAACCUGACGGGAGCCUGUCCUGGGUUUUACAGGCCGGUUGGGGAGCUGCGCUGGAGGAGAGAGCCAGGGGCUGGGGCCCGGUGAUGGAGCCUGCCUUGGGGAAUCCAUGUGUUGGAGAGGAUGGGAAGCAGAUAUGAUAACCCUGACCUGAGCCAUGGAGACGCAAGGACAGGACUGGUAGACGGGUCAGUGGGCAGCAACUUAAGGCUGACCUCGCUUGAGCCUUUGCCUGCGAACGAAGUAUAAUACCCACCUCGGGGGCUUGAGGAUCAAAUGAGGGGCUCCACCCACGGCAAAGUGUCACUAAGCGGGAGCUCUGAUUAUCCAGGACUGAUGGAUGGAGGAGGAUGCAGGAAGAGGAGCCUGGGAGGACCCGCUCUGGAAAGGAUGGAAAUCGAGAGCACCAUUCUCAGGGACGAAGAUAAGCUGUUUACUUGGGGCAGGCUGCGGGGAGAGCUGUCCAGCAAGCAGCCACGGUGGGGGGGCCGGGGGGGCGUGGGGGACCCAAGGUAGAGGCCUUCCAGGCUGGCUGAGGCCACCUCUGGGUCCCAUGUCCCUGGUUUUGCAUCAUCCACACCAAUCACUCCAUGUUGCUGUGUUCAUUCACUAGAAGACUGUGGGCUCAUAAAGGGCAGGGCAGCCCUCACUCACCAGUCUCCCCAGCCUCACCCAGCCCAGCACAGGGCACCAGGCAGGGACAGAGAGUGCUGGGGUAGGUGGGUGUGGUCAAACAGCUUGGAAAGAGUUUGGCCUGCUCAUUGCAUUCCCCUCAGCUCAUCCUGGGGAUGUCUGCUGGGAGAAUGGCAGAGGGAUCCCCAAUAUUCAUUCCUGAUACUCCUCUCCCUGUAUCAUAUCAACAUAUAGUAGGUGUGGCCUAUCUAUGGCAGAUUCAUUUCUGCCCCUGAUAGGAUUUGCUGUAGUUUGGAUGUGUGUCCCCUCCAAAUCUCAUGUUGAAAUGUGAUCCCAAUGUUGGAAGUGGGGCCUGGUGGGAAGUAAUUGGGUUGUGAGGGCAGAUCCCUUACGAAUGGUUUAGCACCAUCCCCUUGGUGAUGAGUUCUUGCUUAGUUCACACAAGAUCUGGUUAUUUAAGAGUCCAAGACCUCCCCUUCUCUCUCUUACUCCUGCUCUCACUAUGUGAUACACUGGCUCCCUGUCACCCUAUGUCAUGAUCUUAAGCUUCCUGAGGUUAGACCAGAAGCGGAUGCCAGCACCAUGCUUCCUGAAAAGCCCAUGGAACUGUGAGCCAAUUAAACCUCUUUAUAAA